Molecule: ribosomal RNA, 424 nt
Filed under: Verrucomicrobiota bacterium
Lineage: Bacteria; Pseudomonadati; Verrucomicrobiota
Description: Verrucomicrobia bacterium partial 16S ribosomal RNA
Rfam family: Bacterial small subunit ribosomal RNA
Source: RNAcentral
UGAGGAAUAUUGGUCAAUGGACGCAAGUCUGAACCAGCCAAGUAGCGUGCAGGAUGACGGCCCUAUGGGUUGUAAACUGCUUUUAUAUGGGGAUAAAGUGGGGAACGUGUUCCCUUUUGCAGGUACCUUAUGAAUAAGGACCGGCUAAUUCCGUGCCAGCAGCCGCGGUAAUACGGAAGGUUCGGGCGUUAUCCGGAUUUAUUGGGUUUAAAGGGAGCGUAGGCCGUUUGGUAAGCGUGUUGUGAAAUGUAGGAGCUCAACUUCUAGAUUGCAGCGCGAACUGUCAGACUUGAGUGCGCACAACGUAGGCGGAAUUCAUGGUGUAGCGGUGAAAUGCUUAGAUAUCAUGAAGAACUCCGAUUGCGAAGGCAGCUUACGGGAGCGCAACUGACGCUGAAGCUCGAAGGUGCGGGUAUCGAACAGG